GACGAACGCUGGCGGCGUGCUUAACACAUGCAAGUCGAACGGUGAACCUCUUCGGAGGGGAUCAGUGGCGAACGGGUGAGUAACACGUGGGCAACCUGCCCCCGGCUCUGGGAUAACUCCAAGAAAUUGGGGCUAAUACCGGAUGUUCACCGCUUCCCGCAUGGGUGGUGGUGGAAAGGGUUUCCGGCUGGGGAUGGGCCCGCGGCCUAUCAGCUUGUUGGUGGGGUAGUGGCCUACCAAGGCGACGACGGGUAGCCGGCCUGAGAGGGUGACCGGCCACACUGGGACUGAGACACGGCCCAGACUCCUACGGGAGGCAGCAGUGGGGAAUAUUGCGCAAUGGGCGGAAGCCUGACGCAGCGACGCCGCGUGGGGGAUGACGGCCUUCGGGUUGUAAACCUCUUUCAGCAGGGACGAAGCGAAAGUGACGGUACCUGUAGAAGAAGCACCGGCCAACUACGUG
This 463-nucleotide ribosomal RNA is filed under the name uncultured bacterium. RNAcentral describes it as "partial 16S ribosomal RNA". It matches the Rfam family "Bacterial small subunit ribosomal RNA", at positions 28 to 507 of the family's 1533-position model. The record is from RNAcentral.